UGGGGAAUAUUGGACAAUGGGCGCAAGCCUGAUCCAGCCAUGCCGCGUGAGUGAUGAAGGCCUUAGGGUUGUAAAGCUCUUUCGCCGGUGAAGAUAAUGACGGUAACCGGAGAAGAAGCCCCGGCUAACUUCGUGCCAGCAGCCGCGGUAAUACGAAGGGGGCUAGCGUUGCUCGGAAUCACUGGGCGUAAAGCGCACGUAGGCGGAUCGUUAAGUCAGGGGUGAAAUCCUGGAGCUCAACUCCAGAACUGCCCUUGAUACUGGCGAUCUCGAGUUCGAGAGAGGUUGGUGGAACUCCGAGUGUAGAGGUGAAAUUCGUAGAUAUUCGGAAGAACACCAGUGGCGAAGGCGGCCAACUGGCUCGAUACUGACGCUGAGGUGCGAAAGCGUGGGGAGCAAAACAGGAUUAGAUACCCUGGUAGUCCACGCCGUAAAACGAUGGAUGCUAGCCGUUGGGGGGUUUACCUCUCAGUGGCGCAGCUAACGCCUU
This 490-nucleotide ribosomal RNA is filed under the name uncultured bacterium. RNAcentral's name for it is "partial 16S ribosomal RNA". It matches the Rfam family "Bacterial small subunit ribosomal RNA", at positions 355 to 861 of the family's 1533-position model. The record is from RNAcentral.